RNAcentral lists this ribosomal RNA (2738 nucleotides) under Salmonella enterica subsp. enterica. Its description in RNAcentral is "bacterial LSU rRNA". It matches the Rfam family "Bacterial large subunit ribosomal RNA". Lineage: Bacteria; Pseudomonadati; Pseudomonadota; Gammaproteobacteria; Enterobacterales; Enterobacteriaceae. The record is from RNAcentral.
CUAAUCUGCGAUAAGCGCCGGUAAGGUGAUAUGAACCGUUAUAACCGGCGAUACCCGAAUGGGGAAACCCAGUGUGAUUCGUCACACUAUCAUUAACUGAAUCCAUAGGUUAAUGAGGCGAACCGGGGGAACUGAAACAUCUAAGUACCCCGAGGAAAAGAAAUCAACCGAGAUUCCCCCAGUAGCGGCGAGCGAACGGGGAGGAGCCCAGAGCCUGAAUCAGCAUGUGUGUUAGUGGAAGCGUCUGGAAAGGCGCGCGAUACAGGGUGACAGCCCCGUACACAAAAGCGCAUGUGCUGUGAGCUCGAUGAGUAGGGCGGGACACGUGGUAUCCUGUCUGAAUAUGGGGGGACCAUCCUCCAAGGCUAAAUACUCCUGACUGACCGAUAGUGAACCAGUACCGUGAGGGAAAGGCGAAAAGAACCCCGGCGAGGGGAGUGAAAAAGAACCUGAAACCGUGUACGUACAAGCAGUGGGAGCACCCUUUGGGUGUGACUGCGUACCUUUUGUAUAAUGGGUCAGCGACUUAUAUUCUGUAGCAAGGUUAACCGAAUAGGGGAGCCGGAGGGAAACCGAGUCUUAAUUGGGCGUUAAGUUGCAGGGUAUAGACCCGAAACCCGGUGAUCUAGCCAUGGGCAGGUUGAAGGUUGGGUAACACUAACUGGAGGACCGAACCGACUAAUGUUGAAAAAUUAGCGGAUGACCUGUGGCUGGGGGUGAAAGGCCAAUCAAACCGGGAGAUAGCUGGUUCUCCCCGAAAGCUAUUUAGGUAGCGCCUCGUGAAUUCAUCUCCGGGGGUAGAGCACUGUUUCGGCUAGGGGGCCAUCCCGGCUUACCAACCCGAUGCAAACUGCGAAUACCGGAGAAUGUUAUCACGGGAGACACACGGCGGGUGCUAACGUCCGUCGUGAAGAGGGAAACAACCCAGACCGCCAGCUAAGGUCCCAAAGUCAUGGUUAAGUGGGAAACGAUGUGGGAAGGCCCAGACAGCCAGGAUGUUGGCUUAGAAGCAGCCAUCAUUUAAAGAAAGCGUAAUAGCUCACUGGUCGAGUCGGCCUGCGCGGAAGAUGUAACGGGGCUAAACCAUGCACCGAAGCUGCGGCAGCGACACUGUGUGUUGUUGGGUAGGGGAGCGUUCUGUAAGCCUGCGAAGGUGGCCUGUGAGGGUUGCUGGAGGUAUCAGAAGUGCGAAUGCUGACAUAAGUAACGAUAAAGCGGGUGAAAAGCCCGCUCGCCGGAAGACCAAGGGUUCCUGUCCAACGUUAAUCGGGGCAGGGUGAGUCGACCCCUAAGGCGAGGCCGAAAGGCGUAGUCGAUGGGAAACGGGUUAAUAUUCCCGUACUUGGUGUUACUGCGAAGGGGGGACGGAGAAGGCUAUGUUGGCCGGGCGACGGUUGUCCCGGUUUAAGCGUGUAGGUGUGUGUUCCAGGUAAAUCCGGUUCACUUUAACACUGAGGCGUGACGACGAGGCACUACGGUGCUGAAGCAACAAAUGCCCUGCUUCCAGGAAAAGCCUCUAAGCAUCAGGUAACAUCAAAUCGUACCCCAAACCGACACAGGUGGUCAGGUAGAGAAUACCAAGGCGCUUGAGAGAACUCGGGUGAAGGAACUAGGCAAAAUGGUGCCGUAACUUCGGGAGAAGGCACGCUGACACGUAGGUGAAGUGAUUUACUCAUGGAGCUGAAGUCAGUCGAAGAUACCAGCUGGCUGCAACUGUUUAUUAAAAACACAGCACUGUGCAAACACGAAAGUGGACGUAUACGGUGUGACGCCUGCCCGGUGCCGGAAGGUUAAUUGAUGGGGUCAGCGCAAGCGAAGCUCCUGAUCGAAGCCCCGGUAAACGGCGGCCGUAACUAUAACGGUCCUAAGGUAGCGAAAUUCCUUGUCGGGUAAGUUCCGACCUGCACGAAUGGCGUAAUGAUGGCCAGGCUGUCUCCACCCGAGACUCAGUGAAAUUGAACUCGCUGUGAAGAUGCAGUGUACCCGCGGCAAGACGGAAAGACCCCGUGAACCUUUACUAUAGCUUGACACUGAACAUUGAGCCUUGAUGUGUAGGAUAGGUGGGAGGCUUUGAAGUGUGGACGCCAGUCUGCAUGGAGCCGACCUUGAAAUACCACCCUUUAAUGUUUGAUGUUCUAACGUGGACCCGUUACCCGGGUUGCGGACAGUGUCUGGUGGGUAGUUUGACUGGGGCGGUCUCCUCCUAAAGAGUAACGGAGGAGCACGAAGGUUGGCUAAUCCUGGUCGGACAUCAGGAGGUUAGUGCAAUGGCAUAAGCCAGCUUGACUGCGAGCGUGACGGCGCGAGCAGGUGCGAAAGCAGGUCAUAGUGAUCCGGUGGUUCUGAAUGGAAGGGCCAUCGCUCAACGGAUAAAAGGUACUCCGGGGAUAACAGGCUGAUACCGCCCAAGAGUUCAUAUCGACGGCGGUGUUUGGCACCUCGAUGUCGGCUCAUCACAUCCUGGGGCUGAAGUAGGUCCCAAGGGUAUGGCUGUUCGCCAUUUAAAGUGGUACGCGAGCUGGGUUUAGAACGUCGUGAGACAGUUCGGUCCCUAUCUGCCGUGGGCGCUGGAGAACUGAGGGGGGCUGCUCCUAGUACGAGAGGACCGGAGUGGACGCAUCACUGGUGUUCGGGUUGUCAUGCCAAUGGCACUGCCCGGUAGCUAAAUGCGGAAGAGAUAAGUGCUGAAAGCAUCUAAGCACGAAACUUGCCCCGAGAUGAGUUCUCCCUGAGACUUA